Molecule: long non-coding RNA, 1561 nt
Filed under: Monodelphis domestica (gray short-tailed opossum)
Lineage: Eukaryota; Metazoa; Chordata; Mammalia; Didelphimorphia; Didelphidae
Description: lncRNA (ENSMODG00000049440.1)
Source: RNAcentral
CUCUCCUUGCCUUUGGGGCCAACAACAGACAGAAUCCUGUCUCUACCAAAGAAUUCCUUGAGGCAGGGGCAGCUGGAAGGUUUUCUUCAGAUCCUUCAAAAGAGCCCGGUCUUCUUGCCUUAGAAGUAAAUCUGAAGUUGGGAUUGCUCUUCUCCAAAUAUCUGAGGCCAGAAAAUAACUGAACCCAGUGUGGAAUAAACUCCAAUGCCGAUCGGUUUUCAAGAAGUUAACCUAAGACAAAAUACUGCUAGAGGGCAGCAAUUUGGAUUCAUUAAAGAGAACCCGUGUAAAUAAUAAAAACAAAACUAAAAUGCAGAAUUAAAUUAAGGGAUAGGAAAUUAAAUUUGUGAAUCUAAUCUGAAAUUGAGGCCUUCGAUGUACAGACUUAUACUGGUUUGGCUCUUUCCUCAGAGUUUAAGCUGAGGAUUUGCGGAAGCUCCAGCAUCCAGGGAAAUGACUGUGCCUGGCAGAGGGGACACCCACUGCUCCUGCUGUCUCCUCAGGUGCCCCAGAGUGAGAAGGCGCCCAUUGUGCAGGGGCCACUGAGGAGGUCUGGCAGCCCACCUGAUGGCCUGGUGGAGAGGGCUGCCCCUCUCUAGGAUUACCCUCCGAUGAUUCAAAAUGAGGCAUCCUGACCACAUCUGGAUGGCUCCUGCCCUAGCCCAGUGUCUGGGUGAGAGAGAAAAGCCUUGCAGCUGUGGUUCUGCCGCCAACCCAAGGGUGCACAGGAAAUGAAGCAGAUGGAGGGCGGUAGGACUGAUCUGCUGAGAGGAAGCAGUCCUGUAGAGCGCUGGACCAAACCAGGACCUACCUUGUAUCCAUGUGUCUAGAGUUCAAGCAUUUAGUCUCCAUACCCAUCCACCCUCAGCCUCCAAAUGGCUCCUGGGCAUUCACAGGCUUCAGUAGCCUGUGUGUAAGGGCCUGGAGCCAACAUAGAUGAAUGUGACCUCUUUCUCUGGACAGAGGAAUGACCCCUCACAGUGACCCUUGAACUCAGAUCUCAAUUUCUCUCACCACUUCUUUGGAAGUUCAGCUCUGGAUAGUGGACUGGCCAGGAGAGGCAACAGUAGGUAUACCUCAGAGUCAAGAAGAUCCAAGUUCAAGUCCCACCUCUAACUCCCCCUGGCUGUUGCAUCCCAAGCAGAUAAGUCAUUUGACAUCCUGGCACCUCAGAGCCUUCUUAAAUGCCUACAGCCCUGGCCCCUACACCUCCAUUCAUCACAAUUACUGCUCCAACUGUCGGAGGCAGGGCAUGAAGCGCCAUUUGCUGACGUCCAAUAUUUUAUCACUAAUAAAGAGAAACAUUCCAAGUAUUUUCACAGUUCUGAUACUUUCCAGCACUGGGCCCAGGAGGAAUGAGAAAGUUGUGAUUUAUGCUAUCUGCUGGCAAUUGUUAAUUAGCCGUUCUGGGCUUGGGACCUUGGGGACUAAGGUUUUUCCUAGCCUGGAGCUCAGACCAAGGUCUGCUGAGACUUAGAAUGUUGUGGAAGUUUGCCUUGAGGGUUUCAUCUGGGCACACCAUAGGCAUUUAAUAAAUGUUGGGUGAGUGAUAGCUGGUGCA